GGAUCAAUUUUGUCGGUCGUGCCCUUUGGUACGUACUGGUAUUAUUGGUUUCUAUCUUCUGAAGAACCUUGAUGUCAUUAAUUUGAUGUCUUGGGAAAUCAGGACUAUUACCUUGAAAAAUUAGAGUGUUUAAAGCAGGCAUGCGCUUGAAUACAUUAGCAUGGAAUAAUAAAAUAGGACGUUCGAUUCUAUUUUGUUGGUUUCUAGGAUUGACGUAAUG
This 220-nucleotide ribosomal RNA is filed under the name uncultured fungus. Its description in RNAcentral is "partial 18S ribosomal RNA". The stretch from base 49 to 220 matches the Rfam family "Eukaryotic small subunit ribosomal RNA", at positions 693 to 867 of the family's 1831-position model. The record is from RNAcentral. Lineage: Eukaryota; Fungi.